AUUACUGGGCGUAAGCGCGCGCAGGCGGUUUGGUAAGUGUGAUGUGAAAUCCCCGGGCUCAACCUGGGAACUGCAUUUGAGACUGCCAGGCUAGAGUACGGUAGAGGGGGGUAGAAUUCCA
This 121-nucleotide ribosomal RNA is filed under the name uncultured beta proteobacterium. Its description in RNAcentral is "partial 16S ribosomal RNA". It matches the Rfam family "Bacterial small subunit ribosomal RNA", at positions 550 to 671 of the family's 1533-position model. Lineage: Bacteria; Pseudomonadati; Pseudomonadota; Betaproteobacteria. The record is from RNAcentral.